UACGGGGGAUGCAAGCGUUAUCCGGAAUUAUUGGGCGUAAAGCGUCUGUAGGUUGCUUAGUAAGUCUGUUGUUAAAGACUGGGGCUUAACCCCAGGAAAGCAAUGGAAACUGUUGAGCUAGAGUGUGGUAGAGGUAGAGGGAAUUCCUAGUGUAGCGGUGAAAUGCGUAGAUAUUAGGAAGAACACCGGUGGCGAAAGCGCUCUACUGGGCCAUUACUGACACUGAGAGACGAAAGCUAGGGUAGCAAAUGGGAUUAGAUACCCCAGUAGUCCUAGCCGUAAACGAUGGAUACUAGGUGUUGCGUAUUAUACAGUGUCGUAGCUAACGCGUUAAGUAUCCCGCCUGGGGAGUACACUCGCAAGGGUG
This 367-nucleotide ribosomal RNA is filed under the name uncultured phototrophic eukaryote. RNAcentral describes it as "SSU rRNA". It matches the Rfam family "Bacterial small subunit ribosomal RNA", at positions 524 to 896 of the family's 1533-position model. The record is from RNAcentral.